AUUGAACGCUGGCGGCAUGCCUUACACAUGCAAGUCGAACGGCAGCACGGGAGCAAUCCUGGUGGCGAGUGGCGAACGGGUGAGUAAUAUAUCGGAACGUGCCCAGUCGUGGGGGAUAACGCAGCGAAAGCUGUGCUAAUACCGCAUACGAUCUAUGGAUGAAAGCGGGGGAUCGCAAGACCUCGCGCGAUUGGAGCGGCCGAUAUCAGAUUAGCUAGUUGGUGGGGUAAAAGCUCACCAAGGCGACGAUCUGUAGCUGGUCUGAGAGGACGACCAGCCACACUGGAACUGAGACACGGUCCAGACUCCUACGGGAGGCAGCAGUGGGGAAUUUUGGACAAUGGGCGCAAGCCUGAUCCAGCAAUGCCGCGUGCAGGAUGAAGGCCUU
Molecule: ribosomal RNA, 388 nt
Filed under: uncultured bacterium
Lineage: Bacteria
Description: bacterial SSU rRNA
Rfam family: Bacterial small subunit ribosomal RNA
Source: RNAcentral